GCCAGACUCCUACGGGAGGCAGCAGUGAGGAAUAUUGGUCAAUGGGCGGGAGCCUGAACCAGCCAAGUCGCGUGGGGGAAGACGGUCCUACGGAUUGUAAACCUCUUUUGCCGGGGAGCAACGGGGUCCUUGCGGGGGCCCGAUGAGAGUACCCGGAGAAAAAGCAUCGGCUAACUCCGUGCCAGCAGCCGCGGUAAUACGGAGGAUGCGAGCGUUAUCCGGAAUUACUGGGUGUAAAGGGAGUGUAGGCGGGAUGGUAAGCUAGGUGUGAAAUGCGGAGGCUCAACCUCCGAGCUGCACUUAAAACUGCUGUUCUUGAGUGAAGUAGAGGUUGGCGGAAUUCCCAGUGUAGCGGUGAAAUGCGUAGAUAUUGGGAGGAACAUCAGUGGCGAAGGCGGCCAACUGGGCUUUUACUGACGCUGAGGCUCGAAAGCGUGGGGAGCAAACAGGAUUAGAUACCCGAGUA
RNAcentral lists this ribosomal RNA (466 nucleotides) under uncultured bacterium. RNAcentral describes it as "bacterial SSU rRNA". It matches the Rfam family "Bacterial small subunit ribosomal RNA", at positions 330 to 792 of the family's 1533-position model. The record is from RNAcentral.